AAACUUUCAACAACGGAUCUCUUGGUUCUGGCAUCGAUGAAGAACGCAGCGAACUGCGAUAAGUAAUGUGACUUGCAGAAUUCAGUGAACCAUCGAAUCUUUGAACGCACAUUGCGCCCGCCAGCAUUCUGGCGGGCAUGCCUGUCCGAGCGUCAUU
Molecule: ribosomal RNA, 157 nt
Filed under: Grosmannia abiocarpa
Lineage: Eukaryota; Fungi; Ascomycota; Sordariomycetes; Ophiostomatales; Ophiostomataceae
Description: 5.8S ribosomal RNA
Rfam family: 5.8S ribosomal RNA
About the family: 5.8S ribosomal RNA (5.8S rRNA) is a component of the large subunit of the eukaryotic ribosome. It is transcribed by RNA polymerase I as part of the 45S precursor that also contains 18S and 28S rRNA.
Source: RNAcentral